This 253-nucleotide ribosomal RNA is filed under the name uncultured bacterium. RNAcentral's name for it is "partial 16S ribosomal RNA". It matches the Rfam family "Bacterial small subunit ribosomal RNA", at positions 524 to 776 of the family's 1533-position model. The record is from RNAcentral.
UACAGAGGUGGCAAGCGUUGUUCGGAUUCAUUGGGCGUAAAGGGUGUGUAGGUGGCGCGCUAAGUCGGGUGUGAAAUUUCGGAGCUUAACUCCGAAACUGCAUUCGAUACUGGCGUGCUUGAGGACUGGAGAGGAGACUGGAAUUCAUGGUGUAGCAGUGAAAUGCGUAGAGAUCAUGAGGAAGACCAGUGGCGAAGGCGGGUCUCUGGACAGUUCCUGACACUGAGACACGAAGGCCAGGGGAGCAAACGGG